Molecule: ribosomal RNA, 468 nt
Filed under: uncultured bacterium
Lineage: Bacteria
Description: partial 16S ribosomal RNA
Rfam family: Bacterial small subunit ribosomal RNA
Source: RNAcentral
GACGAACGCUGGCGGCGUGCUUAACACAUGCAAGUCGAACGGAAAGGCCCUGCUUUUGUGGGGUGCUCGAGUGGCGAACGGGUGAGUAACACGUGAGUAACCUGCCCUUGACUUUGGGAUAACUUCAGGAAACUGGGGCUAAUACCGGAUAGGAGCUCCUGCUGCAUGGGGGGGGUUGGAAAGUUUCGGCGGUUGGGGCUGGACUCGCGGCUUAUCAGCUUGUUGGUGGGGUAGGGGCUUACCAAGGCUUUGACGGGUAGCCGGCCUGGGAGGGUGACCGGCCACAUUGGGACUGAGAGACGGCCCAGACUCCUACGGGAGGCAGCAGUGGGGAAUAUUGCACAAUGGGCGGAAGCCUGAUGCAGCAACGCCGCGUGCGGGAUGACGGCCUUCGGGUUGUAAACCGCUUUCGCCUGUGACGAAGCGUGAGUGACGGUAAUGGGUAAAGAAGCACCGGCUAACUACGUG